CUCAUUAAAUCAGUUAUAGUUUAUUUGAUGGUCUCUUUUGUCUUUUUUACCUACUUGGAUAACCGUGGUAAUUCUAGAGCUAAUACAUGCGCAAGGUCCCGACGCGCGGGGGGCGAGGCUUCACGGCUCUAUUCUUGCAUGCGUAGAGGGAUGUAUUGAUUAGGUUAAACAACCAGCAUCUUUUCAUUUCUGGUGAUUCAUAGUAACUCUUUCGGAUCGCAUUCAUG
This 227-nucleotide ribosomal RNA is filed under the name uncultured Acanthamoeba. RNAcentral describes it as "partial 18S ribosomal RNA". It matches the Rfam family "Eukaryotic small subunit ribosomal RNA", at positions 97 to 279 of the family's 1831-position model. The record is from RNAcentral. Lineage: Eukaryota; Discosea; Longamoebia; Acanthamoebidae.